AGCGUAGGCGGUCUGAUUAGUCUGAUGUGAAAGCCCUGGGCUCAACCCAGGAAGUGCAUUGGAUACUGUCAGACUUGAAUACGGGAGAGGGUAGUGGAAUUCCUAGUGUAGGAGUGAAAUCCGUAGAUAUUAGGAGGAACACCGGUGGCGAAGGCGGCUACCUGGACCGAUAUUGACGCUGAGACGCGAAAGCGUGGGUAGCAAACA
RNAcentral lists this ribosomal RNA (207 nucleotides) under uncultured bacterium. RNAcentral describes it as "partial 16S ribosomal RNA". It matches the Rfam family "Bacterial small subunit ribosomal RNA", at positions 567 to 774 of the family's 1533-position model. The record is from RNAcentral.